This is a long non-coding RNA of Gavia stellata (red-throated loon), 323 nucleotides long. RefSeq lists it as uncharacterized. The record is from RefSeq and is a predicted model, not a curated record. The transcript has 3 exons. NCBI's taxonomy places the organism in Eukaryota, Metazoa, Chordata, Aves, Gaviiformes, Gaviidae.
GCAAGUGCUGAAAGUCUCCUACCUGCCAGGAGUGCCGGGAGUCUUUUGCAGGACUUUCCAGGUCCAAGUGGGUCACCUGGAGCCGAAAGCGAUCUCCCUCAAAGGAGAGGGGAUCUUUCCCAGGACCUACUUGGACCUGCCCAGGAACACCAAAGGAACCAAACAGUAUGAGAAGAUCCUCAGAGGCAAGAGCAAAGAUGGACUAAGACAGCCAGAGGGAUGAAGCAGUGGUUCUGGGGGAGGCUGCGGCUGUGGAGCCACCCACGGACAACUCGGGCACCGUGUUUGACACUCGGCUGCAGAUGCAGACGGAGCAGGUGCUG